RNAcentral lists this ribosomal RNA (440 nucleotides) under uncultured bacterium. Its description in RNAcentral is "bacterial SSU rRNA". It matches the Rfam family "Bacterial small subunit ribosomal RNA", at positions 338 to 795 of the family's 1533-position model. The record is from RNAcentral.
CCUACGGGAUGCAGCAGUGGGGAAUCUUGCGCAAUGGGCGAAAGCCUGACGCAGCCAUGCCGCGUGAAUGAUGAAGGUCUUAGGAUUGUAAAAUUCUUUCACCGGGGACGAUAAUGACGGUACCCGGAGAAGAAGCCUCGGCUAACUUCGUGCCAGCAGCCGCGGUAAUACGAAGGGGGCUAGCGUUGCUCAGAAUUACUGGGCGUAAAGGGAGCGUAGGCGGACAUUUAAGUCAGGGGUGAAAUCCCGGGGCUCAACCUCGGAAUUGCCUUUGAUACUGGGUGUCUUGAGUAUGAGAGAGGUGUGUGGAUCUCCGAGUGUAGAGGUGAAAUUCGUAGAUAUUCGGAAGAACACCAGUGGCGAAGGCGACACACUGGCUCAUUACUGACGCUGAGGCUCGAAAGCGUGGGGAGCAAACAGGAUUAGAUACCCCCGUAGUC